GCUCUGUUGGUAGAGCAUGGCCCUUGCAACGCCAGGGUUGUGGGUUUGAUUCCCAC
Molecule: transfer RNA, 56 nt
Filed under: Salmo salar (Atlantic salmon)
Lineage: Eukaryota; Metazoa; Chordata; Actinopteri; Salmoniformes; Salmonidae
Also listed under: 1 other name
Rfam family: tRNA
About the family: Transfer RNA (tRNA) molecules are approximately 80 nucleotides in length.
Source: Rfam by way of RNAcentral